GCUGUUCUAACACAUGCAAGAAGGACGAGAAAGCGGGGGCAACCCUGCAAGUACAGUGGCUUACCCGUGAGUAACACGUGAACAAUCUACCCUCGAGUGGGGAAUAACCCCGCGAAAGCGGGGCUAAUACCGCAUAACAUCCUGUUUUCGCAUGGAGACGGGAUCAAAGGCGAAAGUUGCUUGAGGAGGAGUUCGCGGCUGAUUAGCUAGUUGGUGAGGUAACGGCCCACCAAGGCAACGAUCAGUAGCCGGCCUGAGAGGGCGAACGGCCACACUGGAACUGAGACACGGUCCAGACUCCUACGGGAGGCAGCAGUGGG
Molecule: small RNA, 320 nt
Filed under: uncultured bacterium
Lineage: Bacteria
Description: bacterial SSU rRNA
Rfam family: Bacterial small subunit ribosomal RNA
Source: RNAcentral